Long non-coding RNA from Pan troglodytes (chimpanzee), 2561 nucleotides. RefSeq lists it as uncharacterized. The transcript has 4 exons. The record is from RefSeq and is a predicted model, not a curated record. Lineage: Eukaryota; Metazoa; Chordata; Mammalia; Primates; Hominidae.
AGGUAUACUGGUGUUCUGUUCUUUCCUUCUCAGAAAGGCCUCUUAAAGCCUCAUAAUCUGCUCCAAUAUAGAUGGAUUAAUCUCAGAGCCUACUAGAGCUCUGUAGUCUUGGAACCUUCAUUCAUAUUUGUGUUCUCUUGCUUCCUGGACACACACACAUACACACACUCUCUCUCUUUCCCUCUUUGUUUACUCCCUCAUUUUCAUGGAGCACAUCCUCUAGAAAGACCUUGCAUGUCUUAAAAUGACUUCAUUCUACUCUCAUAUUUAGUUGAUAUUUGUUUGGGUAUGAAAUUUCAGGAAAAAAAAAAAACACAAAUGUCCUCAGUAUUUUGAGGCAUUAUUCAGUUGAUUCUAACCUUCAUUUGUUGUCCUCCUGAUAUCCAAGCCAUUCUUAAUUCUUCUUACAACCUACUUUUUCUUCCUUGAUACUUUUAGAAUCUUCUUUGUGUCCAACUUUAUCUUCCAACUAUUUAUUGAGUCUUUUAAAAAUUCUUAUCUUAUUUUUCAUUUCUAAUGCCUCUAUUCUUUGAAUGCUAUAGGAAGUUUGUCAGCAAACUUUAGAAAAUUAAAAGCAAUGAACUAAACAGUUUAUUGAAAGCUCUGUGUGUGCAAGCAUGUGGCUUAUUGUCUAAGGGCUUUUCUGUAGAGUGGCCUGUAUGAUAGAAACUCCACUGUCAGUCAGUAAUUUUUGCUCUUUUCUCUUGACUAGUGAGACUAGUUAGAGUCCUCAGUGAAUGUGCUUCUAAUCUCCUACCUGGGGGACAAAAGCCUGGCUGCUCACCCACUAUGUUACUGUAUAGUCUUUCAGUAUAGAGACAGUGUAUUUUAUAUUCUGGAGAUGUUAAAACUCCCAGGGCAAGGAAGGAACUGUUGUCUAGCUGCACAAGAAAGUAGAGAGAAUCUGAAAACCAAACUCUUUUUUAAAAAGACUUUCGGCUGUAAUUUAAUUUUUAGCCUGUAUCUCUCCUGCUCCCAUCUGCAGGGGUUACUGGUAUCAUUAAUGCGGAUCCUUUUUGAGUUCUUUGGUAUAAAAUUAAGUUGCUUUUCAGAUGCUCACUGCUAAUUUAGUAUUCAGCUUUCUAGUCCAUCUGCUUUCCAGUUUCCAAAAAUUUAUCAUGAUUGUGUUCUCUCCUAUUAUCUUUGUCCUUGCUAUGCUAUCUAAAAAAAUCCUUUUAUUGUUGUGUUACUGGGGUUUAAAUGAGGAAUGGAAGCUAAUGCAUAUGUUCAACCUACCAUUUUAACAAAUGUAACCCUGUUAUUAUUAAUCCAAUUAUAGCCGAUAUGUUAGAUAGGGAAAAAAUUCAUAUCUUCAUAGCCAUUUCCUCUCAUUUGAAGGGAGAUCAGGGCAAAAAUUAGAAUAUAUGCAUAAUAUUUAAUAAUUUUAGGUUUGUCUAAGACCCCAAACCGGAUAAUUCUAAGUCCAUAAAUCUUUCCUAACUGUUUAAAUUCCAGUUUAUUUCAGCAUCAUGAGUCAUUAAAGCAGAGAGUUCGUGAGAGAGGAAAGCAGUUGGCUCAUGUUCCAAAACAACUCUGAGUGUUUACUGGACUUCAGGAAGCUUAUCUUGGUACACUCAGAUCAAAGCUAUUCACACAAUGACUGAAUAAACACACUGGCUAAUGAUGAUGGCAAAGAUUCUGAUAUGAUACUAAGGAAAAUACAAAUACUAGGACAAGAAAACUUUGAAAAGCAUUAAGAAUUUAAUUGAGAAGUAAACCUUUUCACUUCAUGGGAACGAGUGUGCUAAGUCAUCAGUCUAAGCAUGUGCUGGUGUGAAUUGCAUAACUGCAACUCUUAUUAGACAAUUAUUAUUUGAAUACUUAUUCUGGUAUAUUCUCCUAGGCUAUCAUAUCACUUUUAAAUAAUACAUUCAAAAUUAUUGCAGUCAAUAUAUAUUUAUGACACAAGAUUGUAAUUGACAUUGGCAUUAAGUUAGGCAGUGUCUAGAUUGUUUCUUUAGAUUCUUUAUAUCAAAACAAUGUGUUAACAAUGGGAUGAAAGAAAGUAGCUUCCAGUUUCUGAAUUGGAGAUUUUUCUUUGCAGGAUUUUUAAUGCUAUUGUUCUUUUUUAAAAAGUGGAAGUAUGUCUCAUCUUAGAAUAAUUAUGCUGUGCUCUAGAUGCUUGUCCCUGGGAAAACUGAACUUACAGUAGCUCUGUCACUGUCUUCCCCAAACAAGGCUGAAGCUGUGCUGCAUACUCUUACCUAGCCUAGGAUGUCAUGAAACAUCACUCUGCUGCAUUCUGUUGGAUACUGAUGAGUCAAAACUUGCCAUUUUCAAAGGAAAAGAAUGCAGACACCUCUUAAAAGAGCAGGUAGUUAGAAUGCAACACUGGAAGAAUGUGAGUUUGAGACUAGAAAGAAAAAUUGAGGUAGCAUUCAUAUGGCAACUUCAUAUGACUUGAUGACGUGAGAUUCAACUGUUCUCCUUAGUGUGUUCUCUCUGCAAUUCCAGACCCCAUGAAAUAAAUCUCUGAAGCUUGCUUGUCUCCCAAACACUGUGUAAACCCACUGAAAACUUAAGUAAUGGAGUAAACAGCUUUCUGCGGCUUCCUGCUUUUA